AUGAAAUUGCAUAGUUACCACCCAAGUUCAGCAAAGGUUGAAGGAGCAAGACAGAAUCGUCCGGCAAUGAGCUCAGAUGAGCAAGACCCGGGAACAACCACACCCGGCAACGACCACCUCCAGCUGGCCUGCACUCAGCAGGCGUCGACAACAAGCUAUCACCCCCCACGCGUGGCGCGGCUGUUCUGUGCACACAGAGCUUUUGCGACACGCAGAAGGAGGGCAGGCGCACUAGUGGAGGGACAAGACGUAAGGGAUGAAUCACUCGCUCACUCCGCCGCAUGGCGCACACCUGUAUGGAGACGUGUCAUGCUCCACCCAGGCGGCACCAUGGGCGGUUGUGACAAGACAUGCAUUCGUUCACGGAAGACAGAAGACGACAACACAUCAUCACGCAUUUAA
RNAcentral lists this ribosomal RNA (402 nucleotides) under Triticum aestivum (bread wheat). RNAcentral's name for it is "partial small subunit ribosomal RNA". Lineage: Eukaryota; Viridiplantae; Streptophyta; Magnoliopsida; Poales; Poaceae. The record is from RNAcentral.